RNAcentral lists this ribosomal RNA (547 nucleotides) under Diaporthe sp. AX177. RNAcentral describes it as "eukaryotic LSU rRNA". The stretch from base 219 to 372 matches the Rfam family "5.8S ribosomal RNA". The record is from RNAcentral. Lineage: Eukaryota; Fungi; Ascomycota; Sordariomycetes; Diaporthales; Diaporthaceae.
UCGUAACAAGGUCUCCGUUGGUGAACCAGCGGAGGGAUCAUUGCUGGAACGCGCUUCGGCGCACCCAGAAACCCUUUGUGAACUUAUACCUAUUGUUGCCUCGGCGCAGGCCGGCCUCUUCACUGAGGCCCCCUGGAAACAGGGAGCAGCCCGCCGGCGGCCAACCAAACUCUUGUUUCUAUAGUGAAUCUCUGAGUAAAAAAACAUAAAUGAAUCAAAACUUUCAACAACGGAUCUCUUGGUUCUGGCAUCGAUGAAGAACGCAGCGAAAUGCGAUAAGUAAUGUGAAUUGCAGAAUUCAGUGAAUCAUCGAAUCUUUGAACGCACAUUGCGCCCUCUGGUAUUCCGGAGGGCAUGCCUGUUCGAGCGUCAUUUCAACCCUCAAGCCUGGCUUGGUGAUGGGGCACUGCCUGUAAUAGGGCAGGCCCUGAAAUCUAGUGGCGAGCUCGCCAGGACCCCGAGCGUAGUAGUUAUAUCUCGCUCUGGAAGGCCCUGGCGGUGCCCUGCCGUUAAACCCCCAACUUCUGAAAAUUGACCUCGGAUCAGG